CGGGUGAGUAACGCGUGAGGAACCUGCCUCAAAGAGGGGGACAACAGUUGGAAAGACUGCUAAUACCGCAUAAGCCCACGGCUCGGCAUCGAGCAGAGGGAAAAGGAGCAAUCCGCUUUGAGAUGGCCUCGCGUCCGAUUAGCUAGUUGGUGAGGUAACGGCCCACCAAGGCGACGAUCGGUAGCCGGACUGAGAGGUUGAACGGCCACAUUGGGACUGAGACACGGCCCAG
Molecule: ribosomal RNA, 232 nt
Filed under: uncultured bacterium
Lineage: Bacteria
Description: partial 16S ribosomal RNA
Rfam family: Bacterial small subunit ribosomal RNA
Source: RNAcentral